CCUACGGGAGGCAGCAGUGGGGAAUAUUGGACAAUGGACGAAAGUCUGAUCCAGCAAUGCCGCGUGAGUGAUGAAGGCCUUAGGGUUGUAAAGCUCUUUUACCAGGGAUGAUAAUGACAGUACCUGGAGAAUAAGCUCCGGCUAACUCCGUGCCAGCAGCCGCGGUAAUACGGAGGGAGCUAGCGUUGUUCGGAAUUACUGGGCGUAAAGCGCACGUAGGCGGUUAUUCAAGUCAGAGGUGAAAGCCCGGGGCUCAACCCCGGAACUGCCUUUGAAACUAGAUAGCUAGAAUCCUGGAGAGGUGAGUGGAAUUCCGAGUGUAGAGGUGAAAUUCGUAGAUAUUCGGAAGAACACCAGUGGCGAAGGCGGCUCACUGGACAGGUAUUGACGCUGAGGUGCGAAAGCGUGGGGAGCAAACAGGAUUAAGACUACCCGUGGUACGUCCACGACCGUAAACGAUGAUAACUAGCUGGUCCGGGCACAGUGUGUCGUUGGGUGGCGCGAGACGUACGACUAUUAAGUUACGUCCGUCCGUGGGAGGUACGGUCGACGAAGUAAUUAAACUAACGAAAGAAGUAGACGGCGUGAGACGUCGACCGACGACGACGACGAGGGAGGAGG
This 621-nucleotide ribosomal RNA is filed under the name uncultured bacterium. RNAcentral's name for it is "bacterial SSU rRNA". The stretch from base 1 to 532 matches the Rfam family "Bacterial small subunit ribosomal RNA", at positions 338 to 873 of the family's 1533-position model. The record is from RNAcentral.